AGUGAACGCUGGCGGUAGGCCUAACACAUGCAAGUCGAACGGCAGCACAGUAAGAGCUUGCUCUUACGGGUGGCGAGUGGCGGACGGGUGAGGAAUACAUCGGCAUCUACUUUUUCGUGGGGGAUAACGUAGGGACACUUAUGCUACUACCGAAUACGACCUACGGGUGAAAGCAGGGGAUCUUCGGACCUUGCGCGUUUGUAUGAGCCGAUGUCGGAUUAGCUAGUUGGCGGGGUAAAGGCCCACCAAGGCGACGAUCCGUAGCUGGUCUGAGAGGAUGAUCAGCCACACUGGAACUGAGACACGGUCCAGACUCCUACGGGAGGCAGCAGUGGGGAAUAUUGGACAAUGGGCGCAAGCCUGAUCCAGCCAUACCGCGUGAGUGAAGAAGGCCUUCGGGUUGUAAAGCCCUUUUGUUGGGAAAGAAAAGCAGCAGGUUAAUACCCCGCUGUUCUGACGGUACCCAAAGAAUAAGCACCGGCUAACUUCGUG
RNAcentral lists this ribosomal RNA (492 nucleotides) under uncultured bacterium. RNAcentral's name for it is "partial 16S ribosomal RNA". It matches the Rfam family "Bacterial small subunit ribosomal RNA", at positions 29 to 507 of the family's 1533-position model. The record is from RNAcentral.